AUGAAUCGUCUGCUGGAAUACGGUAGUGUUGAAGCAAUUCCCUAUUACAACUGCUCCCAUAAAAAUUUCACGGAAUGGGAGAAGACUGGACAGAAACGACCGUAUUUCGGAUGGCCACUGGUAGUUUUUGGAGUCCUCGUGGAGUUGUUGUACAUUCCUGUUAUCUAUAUUAUAUUUAAAACCAAACUUAUCAGACAUCCGUGCUAUAAAAUAAUUGUUCUAUUGGCCCUAAUUGACAUUACUGCGACUUGCUGUAGUUGCCUGAUUACUGGACCGAUGCUGAUUAUGGGUACCGUGUUCUGCAUGUAUCCAACGUUUACUUAUGUGGCUGGAGGAAUUGCAAUAAGUACCUGGUGUAUGGCAUGUGCCGCCACCACGUCUCUAUUUUCCAAUCGGAUCAUCAGUAUUGGCUUCAGGAAGUAUGCAGAUGUAAUCGAGAAGAAACUCGCCUAUACUUCAAUCAGUUUUGUACUUUUCUAUGGAUUCUACAUUUGUUGGUUUACACCCACAACUGCGUAUAAUUCUGUAUUUAUGGCAUGGAUUCCUGAUCCAUUAUCUGAGGAAGUACCCAGUAAAGAGGCAGCUGCAAUGAAUUAAUAAGAAAACAGUCCUCAGAGAUUAAAAAACGUUUCAGUACAAACACACCAUUCUACCGUGGAACAAUUGGAUUUUUGUGGCAUGCAUGUUCAUUUUAUUUUCUGUGUAUUUUAUAAUGGUAAAACGGAUGGCGAAGGGACAGAAAUCAAAGGCUUCCAGAUCAAUUUUCAUUCAAUGCUCCAUAAUUUGCUUCUUCAAUACCGGAACUGCUUUGGUCUACAACGCGCUAGCAAUUGUAACCCCUGCUGAAUGGAUUCUUGCAUUUGGACAAAUAUGUUGGACAUGUAAUCAUGCAAGUCCUGCUAUUAUAUAUGUCUCUUUAAAUAGCACUAUCCGCAGGGAAUUCUUGAAAAUUGUGUUCCGAAACACUUUGGCACCGAAAGUGGAAGAUGCUACAACAGGUGUUGCAAAGAACACGAUUUAAAAUCAAUUUUGUAAUGUAA
This is an RNA transcript of Caenorhabditis elegans, 1040 nucleotides long. It is a transcript of the gene named Non-coding transcript of protein-coding gene srt-45, with no coding region annotated. The record is from RefSeq and is marked reviewed. The transcript has 5 exons. Lineage: Eukaryota; Metazoa; Nematoda; Chromadorea; Rhabditida; Rhabditidae.